CCUAGGGUGGCAGCAGUGGGGAAUAUUGGACAAUGGGCGAAAGCCUGAUCCAGCCAUGCCGCGUGUGUGAAGAAGGCCUUCGGGUUGUAAAGCACUUUCAGUGGGGAAGAAAGCCUUGGGGCUAAUACCCUCGAGGAAGGACAUCACCCACAGAAGAAGCACCGGCUAACUCCGUGCCAGCAGCCGCGGUAAUACGGAGGGUGCGAGCGUUAAUCGGAAUUACUGGGCGUAAAGCGCGCGUAGGCGGUCUGAUAAGCCGGUUGUGAAAGCCCCGGGCUCAACCUGGGAACGGCAUCCGGAACUGUCAGGCUAGAGUGCAGGAGAGGAAGGUAGAAUUCCCGGUGUAGCGGUGAAAUGCGUAGAGAUCGGGAGGAAUACCAGUGGCGAAGGCGGCCUUCUGGACUGACACUGACGCUGAGGUGCGAAAGCGUGGGUAGCAAACAGGAUUAGAUACCCCUGUAGUC
This 464-nucleotide ribosomal RNA is filed under the name Vreelandella stevensii. RNAcentral's name for it is "partial 16S ribosomal RNA". It matches the Rfam family "Bacterial small subunit ribosomal RNA", at positions 338 to 795 of the family's 1533-position model. The record is from RNAcentral. Lineage: Bacteria; Pseudomonadati; Pseudomonadota; Gammaproteobacteria; Oceanospirillales; Halomonadaceae.